RNAcentral lists this long non-coding RNA (211 nucleotides) under Numida meleagris (helmeted guineafowl). RNAcentral's name for it is "lncRNA (ENSNMEG00000004515.1)". Lineage: Eukaryota; Metazoa; Chordata; Aves; Galliformes; Numididae. The record is from RNAcentral.
UUAAUGAGUAAAAUAUAUGAAUAGGACAAACAAGGCCUAGAAAGGAUCCUUUAAAAUGCAUUUAUUUUAUAUUGCUUGUUUUUUGUUUUUUAAUACCACAGGGCUGGAAUCAAUUGAAAAUACAGUCUUGACUUCCUCAGUGCACAAGCCACUGGAAAUCUAUAAUAACCUCUGGGGAAAGAAAAUGGAAAUUUGCAGGUUCAACAACUAG